GUUACCUGCGUGUAACGCACAGCACGCGCAAGCAGCGGCGCUGGCAGCCGUGGCCCCUCCUCUCGCUCGCCCAUUCUCCCCGUGCGCCGUCGUGAUUCUGCUGAACCCUUCGAUUCAGCAUCUUCUGAAUACCCCAUUUCUAGGUACUCCCCUCUGACUCUAUUGCGCUCUUUGCGGCUGCGCUGCGCGAGUGCAUGAGGUCACCAUGUUUGCACCGCAAAGAGACACCGUAGACAGCGCUCAUGAGCAGGUGUUCGGGUACAGGCCGGCGCGCAGCACUGCUGCUGCGGACGCUGCUCCUGCGUCACAGCGUCCACAGCCGCCGCUCACGGCUCCGCCGCUGCGCUCACGCCCAAAAAGUCAUCCUGUUCCUAGUAGCGGGCUCGCGCUCGUGCCACGCCAGCCAGCAGGGCGACAACGCUUGCUUGCUGGGACGCUCAGUCAUCGCCAAGCUCCUCGCAAGCGGAUUAUUCUUUCGAGCAGGGGCUCCGGCACGGAGUGCACUGCUGACCUGGUGCGGCAGCAGUAUCACGGCGCGGCCUACGCGGACCCCGGGCAGCGUGCACCGCUCGACUCCAAGUGCUACAGCCCCCCCAUCCCCACCAGCAGCAGAACCUCUUUGUGCGCCAACGCGCUCACGACUUUGGCGCAGGCGGAGCUCAGUGAGCCAGCGCUGUCUCCCACAUUCCCGGUCGUCACCUCCUUACCACGCACCAAUCCGUACUACUGCCACGUUCCCAAGUUACCGCCUUCGGCGAGGAGACAGGCGGACGCUGAUGCAGCGCCGAUGCCGCCUCCAGAGCCUGUUCGCGAUGCCUUUGAAUCCUCGCCACGGAGCGCCUGGGCAACCUCGCAACCGCAAAUGACAAACUCCCCAUCUCUGCGCACCGAUCCUAGUGUUGGGACCGCAGCUGCUUCCAUGGUGAGUGCAACGGCGACGUUGCACAGAAGCGGCAGUGCAGGCGUUUUUGAGCGUCUUGCUGGUGAGUCGCGCAUCGGAGUGACGAUGCUCGGCAAGCGCGUGCGUCAGUGGGCCGAGGGUGCGGGCCUGGUGCUCCACCCCUCCAGCUCUGCGUGGCACGCGCUGCUGGCCUACUCGACGGAGCCCCUUAGGCACGAGCGGCUGUGGCGGCAAACGUGUGCCAAGGGCCGCUACCGGCUGUCAUUGCUCGCGCGCGCCAAGGCCGGCGACACCACUCACUUUGCCAACACUGUGCAAGAGCACAAGGCUGCUCAUCGGCCAUCGCAUGCUGAUCCGCGUCAAGAAGCCAUGGCUCAUGGCCAGCGGGGCCCUGCGAGGCGACGCUCCUUACCUUCGGCCACUCCUGGCGGUCUGAGCGCCUACCGCCGCCAGCAGGAGUACACGCUGUGGUGUCGGUGGCAGCUGUGGCACUUUUUCGAGCAGGGCAGACGCUAUCUGACGAGUGUGUGGCGUGUGCCGCCCCUCCUUGACUCUCAGCGACGCCACGCCGUCCGCUGCUGUGGCAAUAUCGAGUGCAGAACAACCUCUCCUGCAUCGUCGAUUUCUCGCAUCUUCGAUGGCCGCUACGUGGUGCCGAGUGCGGCGAGUAUCGACGCCGCGCAAGAGGAACACAGAGCACUGGAGAAGCGGGUAAACGUCCUGCUGCGUCUUCUGCGGCAAGAAAACGGCCCCUCUGCGCCGACGUUCGCGGAGCGUUCUGGCAACCAUGAAGGUGCUGUCAACGGAGCUGGAAUGACCGCUUGCGGAGCGGGGGCCAUGGCCGGCAGCACCGUCUUGGACCCGGAUGGAGAGGGGGCGGAGGAUGAGGAAACGGCAAACGUGUAUCACUCGGUAAGCCAGUCGCGGCGCAUCAGUGAGGCUGUGGCGGCAACGCAGCCAUACCUCGACGUGCGCGUGGAUAAUACGACGGGCCUCAUGCAUUUAAGCCUGUACGUCAACGGAGACGCCGGCGGUAACGGUGCGGAAUUCGUCGGCAACAGCGUCGCCGGAUGCAUCGACAACCACCGCUGGGUGAUCCUGAAGGGCCUGUGGGCGCUACAGGUGCUCGUGUUCUGCUUCCAUCGAGAGGAGGAGCUGCCGUCGUCGACUGAGAAGCAUGCCGACGAGUACCUCAAGAGGCAGGGUGGAUAUGACGAGCAGACGGAGCAAGAUGCGAGCCGUCGCAGCCAGAUAGUCGACGGACUGGUGGUCAAAGGCGUGGCGUUCGCCAAGGUGAAGACGGGGCACACUUUAGCGACAGCGCAGGACACCUUUGCGUGCACUCGCUGCGGACAAACGCGGCGUCUUCAUAAUGAAGUGUAUAUUUCGAAAAAGACAGGCCGUAUUGUAUGCGGCAUGUACUACUGCGUUGUGUGCCUGGCUCGCACGCACCACGUCCGUCUUCCACCCAUGAAGGACAUCCCGCCGGGUCUGCUCGGCGAGAGAGAGGCUUCCGUGGCGGACGUUAGUUGGCUGCACACAGUGCGUGACGUCUCCUCCGCUCGAUGUAGCGCCUCGCUGUCGCGCUUUGCGAACACAGGCUUGUCAGACCUGCUUCCGUCGGCCUACGCACAUCAGUGCAGCAUGAGCUCCGCUCGCGCUGCCGACGCGCCGCAGUUACCGGAUGAGGCGGCAGCCACCGCGAUGCGAGAGUGGACCCGUGCUGCGGCUGCCGCCCCGCCUCCUGAGUGGCACCCCGGCGGUAAGGUGGACAGCGAUGAGCUCUUUGGUGGGACGCGCGGGUUGGACUGCCCGCCUCCGCGACCUCGCAUGUAGGAUGCGAAGGGAAAAGGCCCGCUCUUGUUUGUAUUUGCGUUUGCCUUUGUGGAUGAUUAAAGGUGGCGCUCGCCCCAUUGCCAUCGCGUAGCCCCCUCUCCCCGCAGGUAGUGAGAGACGAGCACAUCCAUUGCACAUGCUCGGCGAUUUCUGUACGUCUGCUUGUCAGUGUAUGCUGACGCGCCGACGUGCGUCGCUUCAUCUCUCGACUGCGGCACCACCUCUGCGUUCUCCGAAUCAGCUGUGGGAUCCCCUUCGCAAGUACGUACGAAUGACGCGUCGAACAUGUGCGGCUCUGCAGCGCUGGGAGGGAGGCAGCAACGGCAACGCCACUCGUCUGCUAAAGACGACGCGGGCUGCUUUUGACUUGAGCUUUCCUAUUCGGCACUCAUAGAAGGGCCAGUGACGGUCUCUCUCGCUGGAGAAAUUGUGCGAUGCUGCGGCUUCCUUCUAUCACGUCCUGUCUUGGGUUUGCCUAGUCGUGCGCAACCUCACUACAUUGCAACCGCACGCCCCCUCCCCCUUCCCAACGUGCUUUCCUUGCCUCGACGACAGUUUCCUCUGCGGAACUCGUUUCUCCCCACUCACCGCGAAAGGCAACCCAGCGGACGGGAAAAACAUG
This 3359-nucleotide unclassified non-coding RNA is filed under the name Leishmania donovani. RNAcentral describes it as "gene:LdHU3.30.2610(CDS-product:hypothetical_prote in_conserved)". Lineage: Eukaryota; Euglenozoa; Kinetoplastea; Trypanosomatida; Trypanosomatidae. The record is from RNAcentral.